UAGGGAAUCUUCCGCAAUGGACGCAAGUCUGACGGAGCAACGCCGCGUGAGUGAAGAAGGAUUUCGGUUCGUAAAACUCUGUUGUUAGAGAAGAACAGCGCAGAGAGUAACUGUUAUGCGUGUGACGGUAUCUAACCAGAAAGCCACGGCUAACUACGUGCCAGUAGCCGCGGUAAUACGUAGGUGGCAAGCGUUGGACGGAUUUCUUGGGCGUAAAGCGAGCGCAGGCGGUCAAUUAAGUCUGAUGUGAAAGCCCCCGGCUCAACCGGGGAGUGUCAUUGGAAACUGGUUGCCUUGAGUGCAGAAGAGGAGAGUGGAAUUCCAUGUGUAGCGGUGAAAUGCGUAGAUAUAUGGAGGAACACCAGUGGCGAAGGCGACUCUCUGGUCUGUAACUGACGCUGAGGCUCGAAAGCGUGGGUAGCAAACAGG
This 429-nucleotide ribosomal RNA is filed under the name Bacteroidota bacterium. RNAcentral's name for it is "Bacteroidetes bacterium partial 16S ribosomal RNA". It matches the Rfam family "Bacterial small subunit ribosomal RNA", at positions 355 to 776 of the family's 1533-position model. Lineage: Bacteria; Pseudomonadati; Bacteroidota. The record is from RNAcentral.